This 490-nucleotide ribosomal RNA is filed under the name uncultured bacterium. RNAcentral describes it as "partial 16S ribosomal RNA". It matches the Rfam family "Bacterial small subunit ribosomal RNA", at positions 30 to 507 of the family's 1533-position model. The record is from RNAcentral.
AUUGAACGCUGGCGGCAGGCCUAACACAUGCAAGUCGAACGGUAACAGGAAGAAGCUUGCUUCUUUGCUGACGAGUGGCGGACGGGUGAGUAAUGUCUGGGAAACUGCCUGAUGGAGGGGGAUAACUACUGGAAACGGUAGCUAAUACCGCAUAACGUCGCAAGACCAAAGAGGGGGACCUUCGGGCCUCUUGCCCUCGGAUGUGCCCAGAUGGGAUUAGCUAGUAGGUGGGGUAACGGCUCACCUAGGCGACGAUCCCUAGCUGGUCUGAGAGGAUGACCAGCCACACUGGAACUGAGACACGGUCCAGACUCCUACGGGAGGCAGCAGUGGGGAAUAUUGCACAAUGGGCGCAAGCCUGAUGCAGCCAUGCCGCGUGUAUGAAGAAGGCCUUCGGGUUGUAAAGUACUUUCAGCGGGGAGGAAGGGAGGAAAGUUAAUACCUUUGCUCAUUGACGUUACCCGCAGAAGAAGCACCGGCUAACUCCGUG